UACGUAGGUGGCAAGCGUUGUCCGGAAUCAUUGGGCGUAAAGCGCGUGUAGGCGGCCCGGUAAGUCCGCUGUGAAAGUCGGGGGCUCAACCCUCGGAUGCCGGUGGAUACUGUCGGGCUCGAGUACGGAAGAGGCGAGUGGAAUUCCUGGUGUAGCGGUGAAAUGCGCAGAUAUCAGGAGGAACACCAAUUGCGAAGGCAGCUCGCUGGGACGUUACUGACGCUGAGACGCGAAAGCGUGGGGAGCAAACAGG
Molecule: ribosomal RNA, 253 nt
Filed under: uncultured bacterium
Lineage: Bacteria
Description: partial 16S ribosomal RNA
Rfam family: Bacterial small subunit ribosomal RNA
Source: RNAcentral